RNAcentral lists this ribosomal RNA (405 nucleotides) under uncultured bacterium. Its description in RNAcentral is "partial 16S ribosomal RNA". It matches the Rfam family "Bacterial small subunit ribosomal RNA", at positions 28 to 526 of the family's 1533-position model. The record is from RNAcentral.
GAUGAACGCUGGCGGCGUGCCUAAUACAUGCAAGUCGAGCGAAGCGGGGACGGGUGAGUAACACGUGGAUAACCUCCUAUAAGACUGGGAUAGCUUCGGGAAACCGGUGCUAAACCCGCCACUUAUAGAUGGAUCCGCGCUGCAUUAGCUAGUUGGGAGGGUAACGGCUUACCAAGGCAACGAUGCAUAGCCGACCUGAGAGGGUGAGCAGCCACACUGGAACGGAGAAACGUUCCAGACUCCUACGUGACGCAGCAGUAGGGAAUCUUGCGCAAUGGGCGAAAGCCUGACGGAGCAACGCCGCGUGAGUCGAGAAGGUCUUCGGAUCGUAAAACUCUGUAAUUAGGGAAGCGGUACCUAAUCAGAAAGCCACGGCUAACGGCGUGCCAGCAGCCGCGGUAAUUC